This 73-nucleotide transfer RNA is filed under the name Streptomyces sp. ISL-100. Its description in RNAcentral is "tRNA-Lys". It matches the Rfam family "tRNA". Rfam says of the family: Transfer RNA (tRNA) molecules are approximately 80 nucleotides in length. Their secondary structure includes four short double-helical elements and three loops (D, anti-codon, and T loops). Further hydrogen bonds mediate the characteristic L-shaped molecular structure. tRNAs have two regions of fundamental functional importance: the anti-codon, which is responsible for specific mRNA codon recognition, and the 3' end, to which the tRNAs corresponding amino acid is attached (by aminoacyl-tRNA synthetases). tRNAs cope with the degeneracy of the genetic code in two manners: having more than one tRNA (with a specific anti-codon) for a particular amino acid; and 'wobble' base-pairing, i.e. permitting non-standard base-pairing at the 3rd anti-codon position. The record is from RNAcentral. Lineage: Bacteria; Bacillati; Actinomycetota; Actinomycetes; Kitasatosporales; Streptomycetaceae. RNAcentral also lists the same sequence under 1 other name.
UGGCACGUAGCUCAAUUGGUAGAGCACCGGGCUCUUAACCCGGGUGUUGUCGGUUCAAGUCCGACCGGGCCAA